UACAGAGGGUGCAAGCGUUGUUCGGAAUUAUUGGGCGUAAAGAGCGUGUAGGCGGCCAGGUAGGUCUGGUGUGAAAACUCGAGGCUUAACCUCGAGAUGUCAUCGGAAACCAUCUGGCUAGAGCCCGGAAGAGGAGAGUGGAAUUCCUGGUGUAGCGGUGAAAUGCGCAGAUAUCAGGAGGAACACCAAUGGCGAAGGCAGCUCGCUGGGACGUGACUGACGCUGAGACGCGAAAGCGUGGGGAGCAAACAGG
This 253-nucleotide ribosomal RNA is filed under the name uncultured bacterium. RNAcentral's name for it is "partial 16S ribosomal RNA". It matches the Rfam family "Bacterial small subunit ribosomal RNA", at positions 524 to 776 of the family's 1533-position model. The record is from RNAcentral.